AGGAUGAGGGGGCCAUCUGGCUGCAGCAUCAGUCCUCCCACUGAUCUCCGGGAGUGAUUUCCCUGUUCUAGCUGGCUAGCCGGGGUUCCCUGCCUCCCUCAUCGCUCUAUGUGCAUCCCGCCUGAAUCUGUGUGCUUGGACAAAGAGACAAGAGGAUCGCUUCCUCAGUCAAGGGCAUAGAACCAGCUCUGCUCCCCUGCUACAAACUUCAAACAAGCUCUCAAGGAUAUAGUUUCCAGUUUAGUAAUUGUACGGAGCAUAGUUUUCAAAUGGAUUACUGAAAACUACUUCUUCUGUAAUGAUUU
Molecule: small nuclear RNA, 305 nt
Filed under: Chinchilla lanigera (long-tailed chinchilla)
Lineage: Eukaryota; Metazoa; Chordata; Mammalia; Rodentia; Chinchillidae
Description: 7SK RNA (ENSCLAG00000021691.1)
Rfam family: 7SK RNA
About the family: 7SK was discovered as an abundant small nuclear RNA in the mid-70s but a possible function has only recently been suggested. Two independent studies have found that 7SK RNA binds the CDK9/cyclin T complex (known as elongation factor P-TEFb).
Source: RNAcentral